AGCUUUACACAGUGGCAGUAUCAUAGUCAGUAAGGUUUAUCCAAGGCAUGAUUAUUGCUAAUUGAAAACUUUUCCCAAUAAA
RNAcentral lists this small nuclear RNA (82 nucleotides) under Nannospalax galili (Upper Galilee mountains blind mole rat). RNAcentral's name for it is "U4 spliceosomal RNA (ENSNGAG00000010260.1)". It matches the Rfam family "U4 spliceosomal RNA", at positions 1 to 82 of the family's 138-position model. From Rfam's summary of the family: U4 small nuclear RNA (U4 snRNA) is a component of the major U2-dependent spliceosome. The structure of U4 snRNA from yeast and human has been reported. The record is from RNAcentral. Lineage: Eukaryota; Metazoa; Chordata; Mammalia; Rodentia; Spalacidae.